GUGUUGCAAAAGUAGCUUUCCCUGCUUUUAAAGUCGGGGAACCAGAGGAAGUUGAAAAUCACAUGGACAAAUGUUGCUGUUGACAAAGUGCCACAAUUGCCACCCCAGUGCAAUUGUAGCAUGGUGUGUUAAUCUAGAGCAGGGCUGAGAAACCUGUGGCCCUCCAAAUGUAGGACUACAACUCUCAUCAUCCCUAGCUAGCAGAAGCAGUAGUCAGGGAUUGUGGGAGUUGUAGUCCAACAACUACUGGAGACCCAAGUCUGAGAAACACUCUAGGCUACCUAGUGGACAGGACGGAACUCUUUGGGGUGCUGCUGUUACUGCUACAUUGCCACAAUACCUCUUUGCCUUGUGGAAGCUGUGACCCAUCUGUCGCUUACCAAAGAUUUGCGCAGAUUCAAUGUAAAACUGGGAGAAUCAUUUUGGUGACACUCAGCUGUAUAUUGCCAAACUCUGGCACCCAGGUCUUUGGCCAUAACCUUUUAUGUGAUUGCAUAUCAAAGCUUUUAUCCCUUGCCCUCCACAUUAUGCAGUUAUGGCUAGUGACAUUUGGUACCAGCAACCCCAGAGUCAUUCGUGACUGGAUUUAACUGUCAGAGGUCCUUUACCUUUACCUUUACCUAGCUGAAUUUUUAAUUGGGGGGGGGGGAAUAUUUCCAAAUCUGAAAGAUCCAGAUUUUGAACCCAGCAUAGGAGCCAACUCCCUUUGCCCUCCCCCCUAAAAUAUUUGAGGGGAUUGCCCCCUCCAACGUAGAUGGGCAUUGCCAUUCAAAUGGUGUGCAUGUGCCAUGUCUUGUGAUUAUGUGAGGUGGAACUUACCUGGGUCCUCCCAAUAUUUUAUUCAAGUUGGCACGCCUGGAACCAACUUGACCAUAUGCUCUAUGGUUCUUAUGCAUAUUUUAUUCAAAGGUAAUACCCCGUUGACUUAAGUGAGCCGUGCUCUUCCUUGCUUCAGCUUUAGAUUUAUAGGAUGGCCUGUUAAUUAGAUACUGUCAAAAGUUGAUCGUUCUGUCUGUUUCUGAUGUUCAGAUUGUGAGUGCUAUUGCUUAUUCAGCCAAAAGCAGUGAACAGAAAGAGGGAGAAAGGAAUAGGAGGCUGGGGUGUAGAAGUACAAAAAAUAUUGCCUGUGGGGCAGGGACUGAAGAGGAGGAACCAAAAAUGACACAACUCAGUGCCAGUUAUGAGGGAUGGUGGUAGAAAGGAUAACCAGGGAGAAAGAGGGUGAAAUGGGAGAGACCAGCAAUUUUUGACUCCACAUCACAAUGGACUGUUUUCUAUUCCAGCUUCUCAUUCAUAAGAACCUUGUCGCAAGCAACAAUGCCUGUGUUCACUUUCUCCCUCCUUCGUCCCAAUAUGUUUUCCUUUUGUGCUGUACGCCCUUUUAGAUUGUGAAUAUGAAAGUAAAGUCCAUCUUAUGAAACUGCCCUGAGAGCCUCUUUUGCCUUAAAAGCAGAGUGAAAAUGAAUUUUAAAAAAUAAAGGUAAGUGUGCACAGCAUUGUAGCCUUAAAGUGCAAGGUUAUGCAUGUCUAUUCAGAAAUAAAAUUCAGUUCCAUAAUUACUCCCAGAAAAGUGUGCACAGGAUUGUGGUCUCAGUAUAUAAACAUAUCAGUGGGGCAUUGUAGAGUUUGAUAGAGGAAUGUGGAAACUAGAGGAAAGAUGCAUAUUCUGCACUUGCUUCCCAAAGACCUUAAUUAAAUCAUCAAAGGGAUGCAUCCAGGCAAAGUUAAGCACUUUAAAGUUCCCUUCACUUCUCCUGGAAAUAUUUAUGCAGCUACUUAACCAAUGGAAAUCGCUAGGGCCUGCCACCUGAUCUGAACCAUGCUUAUAGUUUGUCCCACUGAUGUUAAUAGUUUCCACCUCCCAAAUCAGUACGCUGAGGGUUGCCACAGGAACUUAACUAUGGCUUGAUUGCUCCCCAAAUAAAGAAGUUGUUAAAAGAUCCAUCAUGAAAUGACUUCUGUUCAGGGAAAACACCUGACAUCUU
RNAcentral lists this long non-coding RNA (1985 nucleotides) under Podarcis lilfordi (Lilford's wall lizard). Lineage: Eukaryota; Metazoa; Chordata; Lepidosauria; Squamata; Lacertidae. The record is from RNAcentral.